GCCCGGAGGCGGAAUUGAACCACCGACACGGGGAUUUUCAGUCCCCUGCUCUACCGACUGAGCUAUCCGGGCAAUU
RNAcentral lists this transfer RNA (76 nucleotides) under Buchnera aphidicola. RNAcentral's name for it is "tRNA-Phe". The record is from RNAcentral. Lineage: Bacteria; Pseudomonadati; Pseudomonadota; Gammaproteobacteria; Enterobacterales; Erwiniaceae.